GAUGAACGCUGGCGGCGUGCCUAAUACAUGCAAGUCGAGCGAACAGACGAGGAGCUUGCUCCUCUGACGUUAGCGGCGGACGGGUGAGUAACACGUGGAUAACCUACCUAUAAGACUGGGAUAACUUCGGGAAACCGGAGCUAAUACCGGAUAAUAUAUUGAACCGCAUGGUUCAAUAGUGAAAGACGGUUUUGCUGUCACUUAUAGAUGGAUCCGCGCCGCAUUAGCUAGUUGGUAAGGUAACGGCAUACCAAGGCAACGAUGCGUAGCCGACCUGAGAGAGUGAUCGGCCACACUGGAACUGAGACACGGUCCAGACUCCUACGGGAGGCAGCAGUAGGGAAUCUUCCGCAAUGGGCGAAAGCCUGACGGAGCAACGCCGCGUGAGUGAUGAAGGUCUUCGGAUCGUAAAACUCUGUUAUUAGGGAAGAACAAAUGUGUAAGUAACUAUGCACGUCUUGACGGUACCUAAUCAGAAAGCCACGGCUAACUACGUG
RNAcentral lists this ribosomal RNA (497 nucleotides) under uncultured bacterium. RNAcentral describes it as "partial 16S ribosomal RNA". It matches the Rfam family "Bacterial small subunit ribosomal RNA", at positions 28 to 507 of the family's 1533-position model. The record is from RNAcentral.